RNAcentral lists this ribosomal RNA (137 nucleotides) under Oldenlandia corymbosa. RNAcentral's name for it is "partial 26S ribosomal RNA". The record is from RNAcentral. Lineage: Eukaryota; Viridiplantae; Streptophyta; Magnoliopsida; Gentianales; Rubiaceae.
CACACAGCGGAUCGCCACCUACCCCGUUUCUCUCCUCUACCGCUGUUCGUUGGAGGGGCGGGGCACUGGAAGGGGAGUUAGCUUUCCUCGGCGGAAGGGGAGCGGGAGUUAGCUAACGGGGUGGGAGAGUCUAGAUU